AUCUACCUUGGUCAUCUUCACUUGCUUUGUGAAUUUGCACCUGUUUCAGGAGCAUCAUGUCUACCUGGAUGAGCCCAUCAGAGUUCACCACUCAAUGGCAUGUUGUCAACCAGCACAGAGUAAUGCCGUCUUUGAUUGCAAAGUACUGACAAGGAACCAUGCUUUCCUCUGGUUGUAUCACAAGACAGGCAAGAUUCAAGAGGACUGAGGAUUACUUUGGAGAUUGAUUCAUGUAUCCCAGCACCUCCAUCAAUAGGUUGCAAUUGCCACACACACAGCAGGGAGCUGGAAGAGCCACAUGGAGGAGGACACUUACCAUUGGUCUCCAGUGACCGCCUUUAUGCAUUCCAUGUGGACCCGAAGAUGGUGAUCCUGUUGUAGAAGAGCUGCCUCAGCCCCUCUGUUGAACAAAACACCUGACUACCUACUCACCUAAGACCUAACUCUGUCUGCCAUGUCUAACCCUCAUGUCAGAGCUGAUGGACAAGACUCGAAUACCCAUCAUGUGCUGGCUACUUUCAGCUUUUACCAAUAUCCAGGGGUGUAGGAGUCAUCUCUGAAGUGGCAGUCUGCAGGAGGUAAGACUCAGGCCCCAGACAUCCCCCACAGUUUCACUUAAACUUCUA
Molecule: long non-coding RNA, 626 nt
Filed under: Ictidomys tridecemlineatus (thirteen-lined ground squirrel)
Lineage: Eukaryota; Metazoa; Chordata; Mammalia; Rodentia; Sciuridae
Description: lncRNA (ENSSTOG00000030348.1)
Source: RNAcentral